UUGUGAGGUAGAGGCGCGAUAUUUAUUAGUGCUUAGUGGAGUCCGAGAAGACGAAGAAGCUAUGCAGAAGGAAAUGUCGCCGAAGUAUGUAAUGAGUUCUCGUCAUUAUGUGCUGGGUCUGUAAUGAAUAAUUACAGGACUGUCUUAAUAAGUUUCCCGAUUUAUUAAGAUGUGCUAUCUCUCAG
Molecule: non-coding RNA, 185 nt
Filed under: Bacillus sp. (in: firmicutes)
Lineage: Bacteria; Bacillati; Bacillota; Bacilli; Caryophanales; Bacillaceae
Also listed under: 1 other name
Description: Bacillus sp. Lysine sequence
Rfam family: Lysine riboswitch aptamer
About the family: Riboswitches are metabolite binding domains within certain messenger RNAs that serve as precision sensors for their corresponding targets. Allosteric rearrangement of mRNA structure is mediated by ligand binding, and this results in modulation of gene expression.
Source: RNAcentral